Molecule: transfer RNA, 82 nt
Filed under: Dichotomopilus funicola
Lineage: Eukaryota; Fungi; Ascomycota; Sordariomycetes; Sordariales; Chaetomiaceae
Also listed under: 1 other name
Description: tRNA-Lys
Rfam family: tRNA
About the family: Transfer RNA (tRNA) molecules are approximately 80 nucleotides in length. Their secondary structure includes four short double-helical elements and three loops (D, anti-codon, and T loops).
Source: RNAcentral
GCCCGGCUAGCUUAGUUGGAAGAGCGUGAGGCUUUUAUGAAAGGAGACCUCAAGGUCGGGGGUUCGAGCCCCCCGCCGGGCG